RNAcentral lists this ribosomal RNA (251 nucleotides) under uncultured bacterium. RNAcentral's name for it is "partial 16S ribosomal RNA". It matches the Rfam family "Bacterial small subunit ribosomal RNA", at positions 1249 to 1500 of the family's 1533-position model. The record is from RNAcentral.
GCGAACAUGUGAGUGCAAGCGAAUCCCAAAAUAACGUCUCAGUUCGGAUUGUAGUCUGCAACUCGACUACAUGAAGCUGGAAUCGCUAGUAAUCGCGAAUCAGAAUGUCGCGGUGAAUACGUUCCCGGGUCUUGUACACACCGCCCGUCACACCAUGGGAGUCAGUAACGCCCGAAGCCGGUGACCUAACCGAAAGGGAGGAGCCGUCGAAGGUGGGACCGAUAACUGGGGUGAAGUCGUAACAAGGUACC